AUCCAAAUGAAAGCAUCACCACAUCCACACAACCAUACAAAGAAACACAAACAUGCCUGGAUUUGCACACCACUACACCAGUAGCACAUUCAGAAUCUCUGUCUACCACACCAAGCCUAACCUCCAGAGAGUCAAGUCCUGAUGUCCUCAAACUCAGUAACAGGUAACAACUUCAGCCUUAUUUUAAACCAUGUCCGGUACACAUUUAGCAUCCUUUGGCAAGGCUAAAAAUGAACCAGAAUGGCAUCUGCCUCCAAAAAUGAUGCCUCAUUUAACUCACUAAAAAUAAGGUUGAAUCAGGUUCUUUAAGACAUCUAAAACAGCUCUGUUGGUUCUGAGCUGAGAAACACUGAUCUAAAACCAGUUGACUAGGUUUUAACCAUUCAUAGAGUAUCCCAGCACUUCAUAUUUUAAAUGCAUUCGCCUCAUUCACUGAUUAAAAAAGGUUCCAUGAAUUUAACUGUGUAGGCAAAGGAAACAUCCACAUUUUCAAUGAUGGGUUACUCUAGGACUUGAUAACCACUGAUUUAUAUUUGUUUGAUGCCUUUGAAUAAUUUUAAAGCAGACCAUUUUUUUACAACAAUUGUCUCUCUCUCACUUCCUCAGUGUCUGCACACACAAUUUGCUGUGGGUGGUCUGGUCAUAGCAGCGAUAUUAUUUUUAGUUGGAUUGGUCACUGUUCAUCAGAGCAGAAACAGAGUCAAGACAUCAGAAAUUUUCUUAUGUUGUGCAACAGCAACGCCUGGCAAAGUUGAAGAGAACAGCACAGAGAUGAAAUCUACAGAUGAGACUGAAGUCAAGAAAAGCCAAUCAGAUUCAGUCUAUCAGAAUCUAAACCUCAGCACGGUCCAAUCAAAUGAAGUAUAUGGAAAUCUCGGAUUGCUGAAUCAUUUAGUAAUAUUCAGAGUACCAGUCUCUAGACUAACAAUCCCAGAUCUCAAGUACAUUUAA
Cyprinus carpio (common carp) is the source of this 951-nucleotide long non-coding RNA. Lineage: Eukaryota; Metazoa; Chordata; Actinopteri; Cypriniformes; Cyprinidae. The record is from Ensembl.